Molecule: non-coding RNA, 45 nt
Organism: Pelecanus crispus (Dalmatian pelican)
Lineage: Eukaryota; Metazoa; Chordata; Aves; Pelecaniformes; Pelecanidae
Source: Rfam
UUUAAGGCUUCAAUAGAAGCCACAGAAACAGAAAUCAAAUUUCUG